Molecule: ribosomal RNA, 253 nt
Filed under: uncultured bacterium
Lineage: Bacteria
Description: partial 16S ribosomal RNA
Rfam family: Bacterial small subunit ribosomal RNA
Source: RNAcentral
UACGUAGGCAGCAAGCGUUGUUCGGAAUUACUGGGCGUAAAGAGUGUGUAGGUGGUGUCGUAAGUUUGGUGUGAAAUCUCCCGGCUUAACUGGGAGGGUGCGCCGAAGACUGCGAUGCUGGAGUAUGGGAGAGGAAAGCGGAAUUCCUGGUGUAGAGGUGAAAUUCGUAGAUAUCAGGAGGAACACCAGUGGCGAAGGCGGCUUUCUGGACGGUAACUGACGCUGAGACGCGAAAGCGUGGGGAGCAAACAGG